Molecule: ribosomal RNA, 497 nt
Filed under: uncultured bacterium
Lineage: Bacteria
Description: partial 16S ribosomal RNA
Rfam family: Bacterial small subunit ribosomal RNA
Source: RNAcentral
GAUGAACGCUGGCGGCGUGCCUAAUACAUGCAAGUCGAGCGAACGGACGAGAAGCUUGCUUCUCUGAUGUUAGCGGCGGACGGGUGAGUAACACGUGGAUAACCUACCUAUAAGACUGGGAUAACUUCGGGAAACCGGAGCUAAUACCGGAUAAUAUUUUGAACCGCAUGGUUCAAAAGUGAAAGACGGUCUUGCUGUCACUUAUAGAUGGAUCCGCGCUGCAUUAGCUAGUUGGUAAGGUAACGGCUUACCAAGGCAACGAUGCAUAGCCGACCUGAGAGGGUGAUCGGCCACACUGGAACUGGGACACGGUCCAGACUCCUACGGGAGGCAGCAGUAGGGAAUCUUCCGCAAUGGGCGAAAGCCUGACGGAGCAACGCCGCGUGAGUGAUGACGGUCUUCGGAUCGUAAAACUCUGUUAUUAGGGAAGAACAUAUGUGUAAGUAACUGUGCACAUCUUGACGGUACCUAAUCAGAAAGCCACGGCUAACUACGUG